UAGGGAAUCUUCGGCAAUGGACGGAAGUCUGACCGAGCAACGCCGCGGGAGUGAAGAAGGUUUUCGGAUCGUAAAGCUCUGUUGUUAGAGAAGAACGAUGGUAGGAGUGGAAAAUCUACCAAGUGACGGUAACUAACCAGAAAGGGACGGCUAACUACGUGCCAGCAGCCGCGGUAAUACGUAGGUCCCGAGCGUUGUCCGGAUUUAUUGGGCGUAAAGCGAGCGCAGGCGGUUCUUUAAGUCUGAAGUUAAAGGCAGUGGCUUAACCAUUGUACGCUUUGGAAACUGGAGGACUUGAGUGCAGAAGGGGAGGGUGGAAUUCCAUGUGUAGCGGUGAAAUGCGUAGAUAUAUGGAGGAACACCGGUGGCGAAAGCGGCUCUCUGGUCUGUAACUGACGCUGAGGCUCGAAAGCGUGGGGAGCAAACAGG
RNAcentral lists this ribosomal RNA (429 nucleotides) under Bacillota bacterium. RNAcentral's name for it is "Firmicutes bacterium partial 16S ribosomal RNA". It matches the Rfam family "Bacterial small subunit ribosomal RNA", at positions 355 to 776 of the family's 1533-position model. The record is from RNAcentral. Lineage: Bacteria; Bacillati; Bacillota.